UACGUAGGGUGCGAGCGUUAAUCGGAAUUACUGGGCGUAAAGCGUGCGCAGGCGGUUUUGUAAGUCAGAUGUGAAAGCCCCGGGCUCAACCUGGGAAUGGCGUUUGAAACUGCAAGGCUAGAGUGUGUCAGAGGGGGGUAGAAUUCCACGUGUAGCAGUGAAAUGCGUAGAGAUGUGGAGGAAUACCGAUGGCGAAGGCAGCCCCCUGGGAUAACACUGACGCUCAUGCACGGAAGCGUGGGGAGCAAACAGG
Molecule: ribosomal RNA, 253 nt
Filed under: uncultured bacterium
Lineage: Bacteria
Description: partial 16S ribosomal RNA
Rfam family: Bacterial small subunit ribosomal RNA
Source: RNAcentral